This 355-nucleotide RNase P RNA is filed under the name Paludibacteraceae bacterium. RNAcentral's name for it is "RNase P RNA component class A". It matches the Rfam family "Bacterial RNase P class A". From Rfam's summary of the family: Ribonuclease P (RNase P) is a ubiquitous endoribonuclease, found in archaea, bacteria and eukarya as well as chloroplasts and mitochondria. Lineage: Bacteria; Pseudomonadati; Bacteroidota; Bacteroidia; Bacteroidales; Paludibacteraceae. The record is from RNAcentral.
UAAGCAGGCUGGUCUGUCGCUGUUUCCAGUGUUGGAAAGAGAGGAAAGUCCGGGCAACGCAGAGCAAUAAGCUUCUUAACGGGAAGUUGUCUGUGAGGGCAAGCAGGCGUAACAGAAAAUGACCGCCCCGCAAGGGGUAAGGGUGAAAAGGCGGGGUAAGAGCCCACCGCCGGUUUGGCGACAAGCCGGGCUGUACGCUCCUUAUGUUGCAAAACCAAGUAUACCGACGUAUGUAGGGCUGCUCGUCCGAUGUCGGGGGGUAGGUCGCUAGAGCCUGUUGGUGACAACGGGUGUAGAUAAAUGACAGACGCCCUUUCUAAGGGUACAUAACCCGGCUUACAGGCCUGCUUUCGCC